Molecule: ribosomal RNA, 207 nt
Filed under: uncultured bacterium
Lineage: Bacteria
Description: partial 16S ribosomal RNA
Rfam family: Bacterial small subunit ribosomal RNA
Source: RNAcentral
CACGUAGGCGGUUCGUCGCGUCCGGUGUGAAAGUCCAUCGCUUAACGGUGGAUCUGCGCCGGGUACGGGCGGGCUGGAGUGCGGUAGGGGAGACUGGAAUUCCCGGUGUAACGGUGGAAUGUGUAGAUAUCGGGAAGAACACCAAUGGCGAAGGCAGGUCUCUGGGCCGUUACUGACGCUGAGGAGCGAAAGCGUGGGGAGCGAACA